AUCGCUUCUCGGCCUUUUGGCUAAGAUCAAGUGUAGUAUCAGUUCUUAUCUGUUCUUAAGAGGAUAAAGUAAGUGAAGAGGAGAAGGAGUCAGAUGAAUCGACCCCCU
Molecule: small nuclear RNA, 108 nt
Organism: Cyprinus carpio carpio
Lineage: Eukaryota; Metazoa; Chordata; Actinopteri; Cypriniformes; Cyprinidae
Gene: U2
Rfam family: U2 spliceosomal RNA
About the family: U2 is a small nuclear RNA (snRNA) component of the spliceosome (involved in pre-mRNA splicing). Complementary binding between U2 snRNA (in an area lying towards the 5' end but 3' to hairpin I) and the branchpoint sequence (BPS) of the intron results the bulging out of an unpaired adenosine, on the BPS, which initiates a nucleophilic attack at the intronic 5' splice site, thus starting the first of two transesterification reactions that mediate splicing.
Source: Ensembl